Long non-coding RNA from Salvia splendens (bonfire salvia), 2048 nucleotides. RefSeq lists it as uncharacterized. NCBI's taxonomy places the organism in Eukaryota, Viridiplantae, Streptophyta, Magnoliopsida, Lamiales, Lamiaceae. The transcript is spliced from 3 exons. The record is from RefSeq and is a predicted model, not a curated record.
CUAUAUAUACAUCUUUAUCAUUUGCACUUUGUAAAAAAAACAGGGAAAAAACUCAUGCAACUAACUAUAUACUUAUAUUCCAAUAGCGUUGCCUAUGAAAUAGAGAUGGCAUCAUCAACUGAACUCAGUCUCAACACUGAAUCUUUGGUGGAAAAAACACAGAAGCUGGAAGAAUUUGUAGCCUGUUUGGAAGAAGAAAAGCUCAAGAUUGAGGCUUUCAAGCGUGAGCUUCCACUUUGCAUGCAACUUCUCACAAACGCCACGGAGGCGUCGAGGCAGGAGCUGCAGUCGCAGAGGAUGAAGCAACUUUCUGCGGAUAAAUCGAACUGGAUGGCGUCUGCGACUCUGUGGAGCGAUCAAGUUGAGGGAUGAAGAAUUCCGUCCCCGGAGUUAGGUCUUGCACCGCCUGAUAACAAGGAGAAGAGAAAGGCGAGGAGGUGUUGGUCGCCGCACUUGCACAAGCCUUUCCUACAUGCGAUGCACAUGCUCGGUGGUUCACAACUUUAGUAUAUAUUACUCUCUUCGUCCCAUCCAAGUUGUCUAUAUGUCUUUUUUAAUUUGUGAGACAUAUUUCGAUAUUUAGAAUAAAAUUUUCAUUUACUGUCUCAAAUUCGUGUCAUUCAAGAACAUGAUCAUCUUGAAUGAGACUGAUGCAUUAAGUUUGACGAAACUCGAGCAAUUUGAUUCUUACUAGCUAAUUAUCUAUUUGGAUCGAUGUAGUGGCAACUCCCAAACAAAUCACGCAAUUAAUGAAGGUCGAGGGAUUAACUAGUGAUGAAGUUAAAAGCCAUUUACAGAAGUACAGACUGCACGCAGGAAUCCAUGCUCCAAGCCCAAUGGUGGUCGUAGGUAACAUAUGGGAGUAUGCAGCCCACGGCGGAGCACCGCCUGCCUCCUAUGAACGUAGGAUACUACCACCACCUUAAUAAUAAGACAUACUUUAUCGCAUAGUUAAUAUUGAUAUUUUUUAGAGAUGAAUAAUGUUAAUGUCUUAAUGGCUGUUUAAUUGGUCGGAUUUGUGUUUGCGUUGAAAUUUUUUAGCCUCUUGGUAACUCAUGGCCCAUUAAAAAGGAUAAGCUCAAGAUGGGCUAGUCAUUCUUAUUGGAUUAUACUAGUGCUUCAAGUUCAAUCUUAGACAUUAACUUCUUCACCUACCACUACCACAGUAAUUUUGAAAGUCCAAUCAUAACGCAUGAACAUAUAAAUUCUUACAAGUAUUGUGACAUACACCAAAAUCUUCCAUCCUUUCCAAAUUACUCCCUCCGUCCCUGAAAAUUUGUCCCAAUUUACCAUUUCGAUCCGUCCCUGAAAAUUUGUCUCACUUCAAACUUACUAAAAAUGGACAUAUCUAUUUACUCCUCCACAUUCUUGUUAUUUGCACUUUGACCCCUUCUCAAUUACAAUCGGGUGAUGCAUUUUGCAUUCCACCCUUUCGCUUCCCUCAUUACUCCACCGACGCCUUCACUCUACACAACCACCCACAGCCUCCUUCAUCAAUGCACAACCACCCACCGCCUCCAUGAAUGCCAUUAAACCACCCAUCGCAGCCGGAAUUUCUCCGGUGAAUCGGUUGUAGUUCAAGCUCAGAACUGACAAGUUGCUGAAACGGAAUAGAUCGCUAGGCAAGGUGCCAGUGAAGAAAUUGCGAUGGAGCGUGAGCGAUUGGAGCUGAAACGCAGAGAAUGAUCUUCGCCGACGACUUUGACAGAUUAGAAUAAACCGGCAUCAAUAAACUUAACUAAAUUUAAAAGAUUAAAUAUCUUAAAUAUGUUAUCUAAUUGUAAAAUGGGCUUUGAAAUAUUUUUCUUUAUUUGAAUAAAUUCUUAGAAGUCCAUUAAAAAUAUAUUCUCAUCUUAAAAUAUCAAUUAAUGUUAUAGUAAUAUUUUUUUACAGUAUAUCAAAAUCAACUUAUCUAAAUUAACCACCUACUUAUAUAAAGUAAAUAUUUCUUAAUUUCUUCUACUCUUAGUUUUAUAAUUUAAAUUUUCAACCUUAUUAUUCAUAUUCAAUUUUUUAAAUCUUUAAAAAUUUGGUAUGUUACAGAAAAA